CCAAAUUUGGUGUUGAUCUGAAUAAAUCUCUAGGAGGAGUUCGUUAAAAUACAAGGCAUGCAAAUGACAAAAAUGAUGCAAAAUUUGCUCAUAAAAUUAAAAAUAACCGACUUCCUGUUGGGUUUCGGAUAUUGCUCCAAGAGUCUUUUUUGUAGGUACUGAUGCUUUACAUAUGUGUGCCAAUUUUCGUGCAUGUACGUGAAACACAGCUCGAGGGCUGUUGAUUUUUUUACGGUAGGUGGCGCUGUCGAGCCAUUUUGCCACACCCUCUUCUGAAACCUAUAUCAGACGUAAAUUUUCACCAGGUCUGACGCGUGUGCAAAGUUUCAGGACUUUUCGAGCAUGUUUAGGCCCUCAAAAAUGCGAUUCAUUUUGGAGAAGAAGAAGAAGAAGAAGAAGAAGAAGAAGAAGAAUUAAAGCUGCAAGCAGCGAUGAACGGGCCCUCGCACCCGGGCUCACCGCCAUCGUGUGGCUUUAGUAAAAAGGUGAACGGUGAGAAAUAUGCAUUUAAAGUCGUAAAUAUAAGUGGAAUAUGUCAAAGUCAUUUAUAUGUGACAAUUUUCCUGUUGCCAGCAGGUGGCGCUAUCAUUAUAAUGGAAUAUUGGCCUUCAGAUUUGUUCAGGCCAGGACUCUUAUCGAGCAUGUGAAGUUUGGGGAAGAUCAAACAUUUUAUGCCUGAG
Cyprinus carpio carpio is the source of this 680-nucleotide long non-coding RNA. The record is from Ensembl. Lineage: Eukaryota; Metazoa; Chordata; Actinopteri; Cypriniformes; Cyprinidae.